GUGCACGCUGGCGGUAGGCCUAGCACAUGCAAGUCGAACGGCAGCACAGUAAGAGCUUGCUCUUACGGGUGGCGAGUGGCGGACGGGUGAGGAAUACAUCGGAAUCUACUUUUUCGUGGGGGAUAACGUAGGGAAACUUACGCUAAUACCGCAUACGACCUACGGGUGAAAGCAGGGGAUCUUCGGACCUUGCGCGAUUGAAUGAGCCGAUGUCGGAUUAGCUAGUUGGCGGGGUAAAGGCCCACCAAGGCGACGAUCCGUAGCUGGUCUGAGAGGAUGAUCAGCCACACUGGAACUGAGACACGGUCCAGACUCCUACGGGAGGCAGCAGUGGGGAAUAUUGGACAAUGGGCGCAAGCCUGAUCCAGCCAUACCGCGUGGGUGAAGAAGGCCUUCGGGUUGUAAAGCCCUUUUGUUGGGAAAGAAAAGCAGCAGGUUAAUACCCCGCUGUUCUGACGGUACCCAAAGAAUAAGCACCGGCUAACUUCGUG
This 491-nucleotide ribosomal RNA is filed under the name uncultured bacterium. RNAcentral describes it as "partial 16S ribosomal RNA". It matches the Rfam family "Bacterial small subunit ribosomal RNA", at positions 29 to 507 of the family's 1533-position model. The record is from RNAcentral.